GGGGCCCCAUGAUGUCCAGCACUGGGCUCCGACUGCCCCAGAGGACACGGUGCCCCUCCCCUCAGUGCCUU
Small nucleolar RNA from Callithrix jacchus (white-tufted-ear marmoset), 71 nucleotides. NCBI's taxonomy places the organism in Eukaryota, Metazoa, Chordata, Mammalia, Primates, Cebidae. The record is from Ensembl.